AUUGAACGCUGGCGGCAUGCUUUACACAUGCAAGUCGAACGGUAACAGGCCUUCGGGUGCUGACGAGUGGCGCACGGGUGAGUAAUGCAUCGGAACGUACCCAGAGGUGGGGGAUAACGCAGCGAAAGCUGUGCUAAUACCGCAUGUGGUCUGAGGAUGAAAGCGGGGGACCGAGCAGCAAUGUUUGGCCUCGCGCCUUUGGAGCGGCCGAUGUCGGAUUAGCUAGUUGGUGGGGUAAAGGCCUACCAAGGCGACGAUCCGUAGCUGGUCUGAGAGGACGACCAGCCACACUGGGACUGAGACACGGCCCAGACUCCUACGGGAGGCAGCAGUGGGGAAUUUUGGACAAUGGGCGCAAGCCUGAUCCAGCAAUGCCGCGUGCGGGAAGAAGGCCUUCGGGUUGUAAACCGCUUUUGGCAGGAACGAAACGGUGUCCGCUAAUACCGGGCGCUAAUGACGGUACCUGCAGAAUAAGCACCGGCUAACUACGUG
This 492-nucleotide ribosomal RNA is filed under the name uncultured bacterium. Its description in RNAcentral is "partial 16S ribosomal RNA". It matches the Rfam family "Bacterial small subunit ribosomal RNA", at positions 29 to 507 of the family's 1533-position model. The record is from RNAcentral.